GCUAUAAUGCAAGUCGAGCGAAUCUGAGGGAGCUUGCUCCCAAAGAUUAGCGGCGGACGGGUGAGUAACACGUGGGCAACCUGCCUGUAAGACUGGGAUAACUCCGGGAAACCGGGGCUAAUACCGGAUAAUAUCUAUUUAUACAUAUAAUUAGAUUGAAAGAUGGUUCUGCUAUCACUUACAGAUGGGCCCGCGGCGCAUUAGCUAGUUGGUGAGGUAACGGCUCACCAAGGCGACGAUGCGUAGCCGACCUGAGAGGGUGAUCGGCCACACUGGGACUGAGACACGGCCCAGACUCCUACGGGAGGCAGCAGUAGGGAAUCUUCCGCAAUGGACGAAAGUCUGACGGAGCAACGCCGCGUGAGUGAUGAAGGUUUUCGGAUCGUAAAACUCUGUUGUUAGGGAAGAACAAGUAUCGGAGUAACUGCCGGUACCUUGACGGUACCUAACCAGAAAGCCACGGCUAACUACGUGCCAGCAGCCGCGGUAAUACGUAGGUGGCAAGCGUUGUCCGGAAUUAUUGGGCGUAAAGCGCGCGCAGGCGGUUCCUUAAGUCUGAUGUGAAAGCCCACGGCUCAACCGUGGAGGGUCAUUGGAAACUGGGGAACUUGAGUGCAG
Molecule: ribosomal RNA, 618 nt
Filed under: Cytobacillus kochii
Lineage: Bacteria; Bacillati; Bacillota; Bacilli; Caryophanales; Bacillaceae
Description: bacterial SSU rRNA
Rfam family: Bacterial small subunit ribosomal RNA
Source: RNAcentral